GUCCCUAUCGUCUAGCCCGGUCUAGGACGUUGCCCUUUCACGGCAAAGACAGGGGUUCAAAUCCCCUUAGGGACG
Molecule: transfer RNA, 75 nt
Filed under: Gammaproteobacteria bacterium RIFCSPHIGHO2_12_FULL_37_14
Lineage: Bacteria; Pseudomonadati; Pseudomonadota; Gammaproteobacteria
Description: tRNA-Glu
Rfam family: tRNA
About the family: Transfer RNA (tRNA) molecules are approximately 80 nucleotides in length.
Source: RNAcentral